CUGCAUAUCUGUGGGUAGGGUUGUGUCCAGAGCUGCUCUGCCCGUUAGCAAUUCUAGCAGAACAACGCCGAAUCCGUACACAUCGCUUUUAACAUACAGGUGCCCUGCAAUUUUUCAUAUACAUGUUUUCUCUCAUCAACAAAUCAUCAUUUUUUUGACAUAUAAUUUUCAUUUGACGAGGGUACCUGUGGCCAUGUAUUCAGGUGCAGCGUAACCAUAGGUGCCCAUGAUCCGUGUGGUUACGUGGGAUUUACCAUUGGCGGGGCCAAGUUUUGCCAGCCCGAAAUCUGAUAGCUUUGCAUU
RNAcentral lists this long non-coding RNA (303 nucleotides) under Vigna radiata. RNAcentral describes it as "long non-coding RNA (VRAD_LNC003921)". Lineage: Eukaryota; Viridiplantae; Streptophyta; Magnoliopsida; Fabales; Fabaceae. The record is from RNAcentral.